This is a long non-coding RNA of Macaca fascicularis (crab-eating macaque), 2682 nucleotides long. NCBI's taxonomy places the organism in Eukaryota, Metazoa, Chordata, Mammalia, Primates, Cercopithecidae. The record is from Ensembl.
UUCCUUCCUUCCUUUUUUCCUUCCUUCCUUCCUUCCCUCCUUCCUUCCUUCCUUUUUGUUGUCUAUUUGUUUGUUUUGAGACAGAGUCUCACUCUGUUGUCCAGGCUGGAGUGCAAUGGUGCAGUCUUGGCUCACUAUAACCUCCACCUCCCAGAUUCAAGUGAUUCUCCUGCCUCAGCCUCCUGAGUAACUGAGGGAUUACAGGCGUGAGCCACCACGUCAGGCUAAUUUUUUUGUAUUUUCAGUAGAGAUGGGGUUUCACCGUGUUGGCCAGGUUGGUCUUGAAUUCCUGGCCUCAAGCGAUCCACCUGCCUCGGCCUCCUAAAGUGCUGGAAUUACAGGUGUAAGCCACCACGCCUGGCCUGAGCCAGCUGCUCCUGACUCAAAGAAAGGAGCUAACAGUAGGCGAGGAAGACCAUGGGCCAUGAUGGGUCCUUCCCACAGAUGCUGCAGAGCCCUCCUGACUUCCCACCACCUUAUGCUGAGAGUGGGGUGGGAGUGUUAGGAGCCAAAAGGGUCUAGGUUGGGUGGCUGUUCACCCCCAUCAUGGUCCUGUCCCCUACCAUGAAGGUCCAAGCCCCCAGGUCCAAUCCCCUGUGCUGAUCCGGAUACUGCUAUUUUUGAAGACCAAGUUCUUCCCUACUUCCUUCUCAUCUCCUCCAAGUCACGGGCCUGCCAUGGCCCAGAUGAUAGUCAUUGGAAAAGUGGAACAUCCUGAAAUUGGCCUUGGUAAGAGUUUGCUGUGAGACCUUAAGGGGGUCACCUGACUGUGGGGAGCCUCAGUUUCCCCAUUGGUAAAAUGGUGAUAAGCGGAGUCUUUGCUGGGUCAGCCUAUAUUGGGAUUGGGAGACUCUUUUCAGAGCACAAGCAACUCAUGGUCUCUUCACUGGGUCAGAGCAGUGCAGGAAGGACUGGGGGAUCCUAUGGGGUGUCCACCAAGUACCAAGAUAGCAGAGGAUGGGAGGAAGGCACCUCUCAUGUCCUCCUCCACCCAUCCCUCUGGAAGUCUUCAGGAAGGGGUCACCAUGCGCCUGCCAGAGUCUGAGCCUCGUCCUCAGCUUGGCUGGGUCUCAUUCUUCCUGGGAAUUGAGGAAGAUCUAAGGCCAAGCGCUAUGGGAUUUCAUAGGAUGCUCAGAGACCUCCAAACCUCCCUUCCAGGAAGCUGCUCUUUGUGCCUUGGUGCCUCUUGCAGGGAUCUCCUCUCCCCACCUCCCACCCACAGCCUGGCUAAUGCCUAUUGGCAUCCCUACCCUCAGCUCCAGGGCGCCUUCUCCAGGCUGCAUCACAUCCGCUUCUCUAUGAUCCCAUAGAAUCUGGUUCCUUCCUUCCCAUAGGGACUCUGCCAGGCUGUGCUAGCCAGGGGGCUGCUGUGGUGAGCAGGAGUUUCCCACUCACAUUUCAGCUUUUUCCCUCCAUCACACUCAGUGUUCUUCAUCUGUCCUCCAUCCUGGGAGGCCGAGGUCGGCCUGCCUCUCUCCUGGCACGGACAUCCAAAUGGGGCCUGGCACAGAGGAGGUGCUGGGCACAUGUCUGCUUAGUGUGUGUGGGAAUGAAUGAAUGAAUGAGUGAGUGAGUGAAUGAGGGAUCUCGCCUGCCUCUGAGCUGUGUUCCCAGGAGCCCCUCCUCUCCUUUUUACCACUUGCUAGCUGACAUGUUUUCUUUUGCUUGUGUUAUAUAUAUAUAUACACACAUAUAUAUAUAUAUGUUUGUUUGUUUGUUUUUUGAGAUGGGGGCUGGCUCUGCUGUCCAGACUGGAGUGCAAUGGUGCAAUCAUAGCUCACUGUAGCCUCCAAUUCCUGAGCUCAAGUGAUCCCCCCACCUCAGUCUCCUCAGUAGCUGGGUCUACGGGUACACACCACCAUGCCUGGCUAUUUAUUUUAUUUUAUUUUUAGUAGAGAUGGGGUCUUGCUCUGUUGCUCAGCUGGUCUCAAACUCCUAGCCUCAAGUGAUCCUUCCACCUCGGCCUCCUAAAGCAUUGGGAUUACAGGCAUGAGCCACUGCUCCCAACCUUUGGGUAAGAAAUUUCUGAGGGUCAAGUGGAAAAGAUGAUGGAAAGGAAUAGUAAGGGGGCAGUGUGCUCACCUGGUCCUGGUGCUCUGAAGGACAAGAACAGGUAAACACCUGAGAUGCUUUACUCUUGCUUCCUUUGAGGACUUAGACGACCACCCACCUCUAACUCAGCGUUUGAGAUCCCAGCUUGUGGGUCCCUGGUCAUAUCAGAAACUCCUCAAGGAGGGACCCUCCCCUUCCUCAUCGGGCUUCAACAGAGUUUCUCCUGUCAGAUCAGCAGCACUUUCCUUCUUUUCUUUCUUUCUUUUUUUUUUUUUUGAGGGAGCAGGGACUGAGUCUCGCUCUGUUGGCCAGGCUGGAGUGCAGUGGUGCAAUCAUGGUUCACUGCAGCCUCAAACUCCUGGGCUCAAGCGAUCCCCCCGCCUUAGCCUCCUGAGUAGCUGAGACUACAAGUGGUAUCACCUCACCUAGCUUGCCCUUUCUCCCUUUUGAAAGAGUCACUUGUUGGCCAGGCACAGUGGCUCACGCCUGUAAUCCCAGCACUUUGGGAGGCUGAGGUGGGCAGAUCACGAGGCCAGGAGAUCAAAACCAUCCUGGCUAACACGGUGAAACCCCAUCUCUACUAAAAAUACAAAAAAUUAGCCGGGUGUGUUGGCGAGCGCCUGUAGUCCC